GAUGAACGCUGGCGGCGUGCCUAAUACAUGCAAGUCGAGCGAACAGACGAGGAGCUUGCUCCUCUGACGUUAGCGGCGGACGGGUGAGUAACACGUGGAUAACCUACCUAUAAGACUGGGAUAACUUCGGGAAACCGGAGCUAAUACCGGAUAAUAUAUUGAACCGCAUGGUUCAAUAGUGAAAGACGGUUUUGCUGUCACUUAUAGAUGGAUCCGCGCCGCAUUAGCUAGUUGGUAAGGUAACGGCUUACCAAGGCAACGAUGCGUAGCCGACCUGAGGGGGUGAUCGGCCACACUGGAACUGAGACACGGUCCAGACUCCUACGGGAGGCAGCAGUAGGGAAUCUUCCGCAAUGGGCGAAAGCCUGACGGAGCAACGCCGCGUGAGUGAUGAAGGUCUUCGGAUCGUAAAACUCUGUUAUUAGGGAAGAACAAAUGUGUAAGUAACUAUGCACGUCUUGACGGUACCUAAUCAGAAAGCCACGGCUAGCUACGUG
This 497-nucleotide ribosomal RNA is filed under the name uncultured bacterium. RNAcentral's name for it is "partial 16S ribosomal RNA". It matches the Rfam family "Bacterial small subunit ribosomal RNA", at positions 28 to 507 of the family's 1533-position model. The record is from RNAcentral.